This is a long non-coding RNA of Lemur catta (Ring-tailed lemur), 911 nucleotides long. RefSeq lists it as uncharacterized. The record is from RefSeq and is a predicted model, not a curated record. NCBI's taxonomy places the organism in Eukaryota, Metazoa, Chordata, Mammalia, Primates, Lemuridae. The transcript has 3 exons.
GGGCUCCCCCGUGGCCUCGGGAUGGCUGCAAUGUGAUUGUGAGAGCCAGGAUGAAGUCAGCACUGACAAAGUGAGGGGAUUGAUGGAUGGACAAAGCAGGGAACUGGAUGAGCCGUUUGAAGGAUUCCUGUCCUUCAUCCCUGCCUACAACAACCCUUUGUUGAGGGUCCUCCGUUCUUGGGGUACAGUAAAUCUUUCUGAACAGUGUGAUAAGUUCUAUAGCAAAGGUUCAAAGCCCAGGCUGCACAUUGUGACCACCUGGGGAGCUUUGAAAAAAAAGAUACCAAUGCUCAGGGAGUAGCCCAGACCAACUCAGUCAGAAUUGUUAGGGAUGGGGUGUGGGAUCUGGGAUUUUAGGGAAAUGUUUUCUAGGUGAUUUUAAUACCACUCGGCCAGGAUGUGGAGCUGGUGUUUAUUCUCCUAGCGGCUCUGUGUACACGCUCUGCCCGUGGAGUUGCCUCGGAUGAGCCGUGGGUCCUCUGAGAACUGCUUCCUGUUUGGUCUGGUAACUCCUAAGCCUGCCUUUCUUUUCUGCAGUCUGCAGUUGUGGAAAUGUGCAGUAUUUGAAGUUUGGAGGAGAUCAAUUUUUCAUCCUUUCCUUAGUGGGAUAAAGAAUAUUUCAACCACCACUGGAGACCAAAGAGCUCUGAGAAGUUUGAAAUAGCUUGGGAAAUAUGCCACAUGCUUCACACUUCAUUUUCCCCCUCUCUUUUCAUUGUUUCACUUGAUAAAAAUAUUGUAAUGCAAGAACGGGAGAUGAGGCAGAUAUUUAGAGAAAGGAAAAGAAAUGGGUUCGUGUUUAAACUGACUCGAAGCAAGUCUGGCCACUGUAGUUUGAAAUAAUUUUGAGUGUUUAGUAAGGUAAACUCAAAAUGUUCUUCCUGCCGGAGAAGUGAUUUAAAAAAAAAAAA